RNAcentral lists this long non-coding RNA (2279 nucleotides) under Medicago truncatula (barrel medic). RNAcentral's name for it is "lncRNA gene31946". Lineage: Eukaryota; Viridiplantae; Streptophyta; Magnoliopsida; Fabales; Fabaceae. The record is from RNAcentral.
UGGCUUUGUUAAUCUCUACUCACCCAUCUACGGGUACAAAAAUUCACCAAUAAAUGUCGUCAGAUAAAAUUAAUCAAUAAUAAUUAAUAUAUAUACAGAAAAGAAUAGGCUAAUUUCUAAUCAUCAGGCACCACCAUCUUCUUCUGUUCUACCAAUGAACCUCUAAACAUAGUGUUUCAAUUUGAUUAUCAUGACACUGGUAUCAUCCAAAGAGCCUCUUGAAACAGACAACUUUGCAAGCUUUUUACAGGCCAUCAAUGGUUGUUGGUUGUUAUUUCCUACGCAAAAUUGACGAGCAAUGUCUACUGCUUCCUGAUUACUAACCUGAAAUGAUAAAAAGAAACUUGAUCAGUUAAUCAUUCAAUAUCAAAAGAAAAGUGCGAAAAUCAUCAUAAUUGAUUUUAUCUUUGUCAAACAUGAUUUGAAUGCGUUUGGAUUAGCACGAGUUUGACAUUAGACAAACAUUCCAAUCAAAAUCAUGUUUGACAAACGCCGAAUACACAUACAAUAACAUCGCAAUGAAAUUUUGAAGUAUUACCUUAUCCCAUAAUCCAUCUGAAGCUAAUAUUAACAAGUCAUGUUCAGGUUCAAUUCUAAUAACUUUAGUCUCGGGCUCCGCUGUCACCCAUUGUUUCAAGUGUCGGUCUCCAAUUCCUCUUGAUACAGCAAGAGAUCCUUGAAUCCUCCAAACACCGCGACAUAAAUCAACAUAACCACCCUGCAAGACAAAUUUCAAUGCAUAAGAUUAAGAACCAAACUCAAACACAAGGUUUCAAAAAAACAUAAAUAAAAAGAGAAGCCAAUACAAUGGUAAGAAAAUUUACCAGGGUCUCAAUUCUGUCCUUUUCGUCUUCCCUUGAAGGACGGUGAUCAGAUGUUAGUGCCUCAGCAACCCCUCCUCUACUAAUAACAGCACGGCAAUCACCAGCAUUAGACACAACUAAGUUACCAUUCCUAAUGAAUGCUGUCACACAACAAGAACCACCAUGUAGAUCUUUUUUCAUGAACUCAGAAUCGGUAUUGAGGUAACCGCGCUUCACUGCCUCCUCAACAUCAUCUUUGUCGCUCAUGAUAACUUCGUCCAAGAUGUUCUUUUCUAAGUUGUUUGCCGCAAAUUCAGCGGCUUUGGCACCUCCAUGUCCAUCAAAUACGCCAAAAAAAGCCUGCAAUUACCACAAAAUAAACUUGUACAAGUUAGAUUUUACACAAUCAAAUCUAAUAUAAGUCCAAGUCAUCAACAACAACAAGAACAAGCAAGCAUAUACAUCAAAUCUCAAUUAAACAUUAAAUGCAUAAUCAUAUGUUCCUAAUUUGUUUCAACUAUCUACAAAAUUCAAAUUUAACUAAUGGCUAAUUACUAAGACAAACUUUUUAACUUCAAAAGCAACAAUUCAAAAAAAUCCUAGCAGCUUAAAAUUGACUUUUUCAACUACAUAAAUUAAUCUCAAAUUUUCCAUAUGCAGCUACCAAAUCAGACCAAAAAAAGAACAAAAUAUUGAAAUUCUGCAAACAAUUAGAUCCAAUAAGACCCAAAUCAAUUAAGAAAUCAAGUUUGAAACUUUCAACAAACCCAAUUGACAAAAACAUAUCAACAUCAAAACCAACCAAAUAAAUAUUAUAUAUUCUAUUAAAAAUAAAUAAAAAGGUUAAAAAAUUUCUUACCAAAUUGUUUUCACCACGAAGAUUAACCCCAGCUGUAUAACGAUCUUCCAUAUACUCCCUCCUCCCUCUCUUACAAUAAACAGAAUACCCAUCUCCCUCCGCCUCAACAACAUCCCUCGCCACCGCAGAAGGCGUCGCCGGAACACAAAAAGCAUGUUCAGAAACAGGUAUAUUAAGCCUGGUAGGUCGUUUCCUCUUCAAAACAGCAUCAUUCUGCGACCCAGAAUCCUUGUUAGACGUAAAAACCAAGGGUAGUUUCGGUAACCGAAGACAAAAAGGUGAAGAAGGUGAAGAACAAGGAGAAGGCGAAGAAGAAGACGAUGAAGACGUUGUUGUUGUUGUUGAAGAUGGUUUGAGAUGAGAAAGAGAUAACGUUAACGUUUCAGAUUUGUUGCAGAAGAGAGAUGAAGAAGGUGAAAACACCGGCGAAUUCGAAACCGCGACGGAGCAAGACAUGUUUAAGGUUAUUGUUGUUGUUCACGAUGAUUAAGGUUUUUUGUUUUGUUUGAGUCAAAUAAUUUAACGUUGGAAUUGGUCUUUGUUUGUUCGUGUGUUUAUGUUUUUUUUUUUUUCGUACCGUUGAAUGAAUAAGUGUUAUGAGGAGGAUGAAGAAUUGC